AUUGAACGCUGGCGGCAUGCCUAACACAUGCAAGUCGAACGGCAGCACAGCCCGCAAGGGUGGGUGGCGAGUGGCGGACGGGUGAGGAAUACAUGGGAAUCUACCCUGUCGUGGGGGAUAACGUAGGGAAACUUACGCUAAUACCGCAUACGACCUCCGGGUGAAAGCGGCGGACCGCAAGGCGUCGCGCGACUGGAUGAGCCCAUGUCGGAUUAGCUAGUUGGCGGGGUAAAGGCCCACCAAGGCGACGCUCCGUAGCUGGUCUGAGAGGAUGAUCAGCCACACUGGAGCGGGGCGCCGGGCCAGACUCCUACGGGGGGCAGAAGUGGGGAAUAUUGGACAAGGGGCGCAAGCCUGAUCAAGCAAUGCCGCGUGGGUGAAGAAGGCCUUCGGGUUGUAAAGCCCUUUUGUACGGGAAGAAAUCCUGUCGGUUAAUACCCGGCGGGGAUGACGGUACCGUAAGAAUAAGCACCGGCUAACUUCGUGCCAGCCGCCGCCGUAA
This 502-nucleotide ribosomal RNA is filed under the name uncultured bacterium. Its description in RNAcentral is "partial 16S ribosomal RNA". It matches the Rfam family "Bacterial small subunit ribosomal RNA", at positions 29 to 523 of the family's 1533-position model. The record is from RNAcentral.